ACUAUUACUAGUGAAGGACCCACGCAUUGCGGUGGGACGACUUCGUAGAAAUAAAUAAAUAAAUUUAAAAUAACAAAAUAAAAAGUCAAAGAAUUAUAUAAAAUAAAUAACUGAAAAAUAAGUAACUAAUUAAAGAUUGAGGAAUUCUCUAAAUUAGCACUUGAACCGAACUGAAUCAAUGAUCUGCCUAUAUAAUUUUGUUUUGUGUAUGAAAACCGAACCAAUUAAAUCUGAAAACCGAACCAAUUAAAUCUGAACCGAAGAGCUGUUGUCUCUAAAAAUCUGUACCGAACCAAUUAACUGACUCUCUCUAAACCGAACCGAACCGAACCAAACCAUUCACUAUCUAAACUUCUCAAACCGAACCAAUAAACUUCUCAAACCGAACCAAUACACGCUUGCUUCUUCUCCGCUCGAAACCAUAAGUCGCUUGCUUCUUUUCCGCUCGAAACCGUAAGUCGCUCCGCCUCCUCACGACCUUGAUUCUUUUCAUGUUCUUCUCAUGUCCGUUACAGUAAAUCACUUCCCCUCCGUGCGACCUUGCUUCUUCUCCUGUCCGUUACAUUAAAUCAUUUCUUCUCCUCUCAAUGCCGCAGCAUCCAUCCCCUAUUUUCGUUUCAGACGGGAUCGACGGGAUCGUGCUCAUAAAAUUUACCAUCGUUUUA
This 665-nucleotide long non-coding RNA is filed under the name Ananas comosus (pineapple). RNAcentral describes it as "long non-coding RNA (ACOM_LNC022094)". Lineage: Eukaryota; Viridiplantae; Streptophyta; Magnoliopsida; Poales; Bromeliaceae. The record is from RNAcentral.